RNAcentral lists this ribosomal RNA (328 nucleotides) under uncultured eukaryote. RNAcentral describes it as "partial 18S ribosomal RNA". It matches the Rfam family "Eukaryotic small subunit ribosomal RNA", at positions 1470 to 1796 of the family's 1831-position model. The record is from RNAcentral.
CCCUUAGAUGUCCUGGGCCGCACGCGCGUAACACUGAUGCAUUCAACGAGCUUAUAACCUUGGCCGAGAGGCCUGGGCAAUCUUGUUAACGUGCAUCGUGAUAGGGAUAGAUUAUUGAAAUUAUUAAUCUUGAACGAGGAAUUCCUAGUAAACGCAGAUCAUCAAUCUGCAUUGAUUACGUCCCUGCCCUUUGUACACACCGCCCGUCGCACCUACCGAUUGGAUGGUCCGGUGAAGCCUCGGGAUUGUGGUUCUUGCCGCUUUAUUGUGGCGUGACCGCGAGAACUUGUCUAAACCUUAUCAUCUAGAGGAAGGUGAAGUCGUAACA